RNAcentral lists this unclassified non-coding RNA (597 nucleotides) under uncultured mycorrhizal ascomycete. RNAcentral's name for it is "partial contains 18S rRNA, ITS1, 5.8S rRNA, ITS2 and 28S RNA". The stretch from base 220 to 373 matches the Rfam family "5.8S ribosomal RNA". The record is from RNAcentral. Lineage: Eukaryota; Fungi; Ascomycota.
UCCGUAGGUGAACCUGCGGAAGGAUCAUUAAAAGAAAUUGGUUAUACAUUUCAUGUAUCAACUGUUUAAACCCAUUCUGUGUACCUUGCCUGUUGCUUCCAUGGAGCCUGACUUUGGUCACUCUUGUGAUGUAAAUCCCAAGGGAGUCCCCAUGGAAGGUCAUCAAUAAAACUCAUGUAUCCAAUUUCUUCUGUCUGAACUGUUUAUAACAAAUGUUAAAACUUUCAACAACGGAUCUCUUGGUUCUCGCAUCGAUGAAGAACGCAGCGAAAUGCGAUAAGUAGUGUGAAUUGCAGAAUUCAGUGAAUCAUCGAAUCUUUGAACGCACAUUGCGCCUCCUGGUAUUCCGGGAGGCAUGCCUGUUCGAGCGUCAUUAAAUACCUCUCAAGCACCAUUGCUUGGUCAUGGAAGAUGAGUAUGCUUGCAUUCUCCCUUCUGAAAUUCAAAGGCGGAUCAUCUCAUAUUCCCUGGCGUAGUAAGUGUUUAUCUUUCGCUUGGAGUGUGUGACAGUCUUGCCAUCGACCCCCAUUAUUUCAAGGUUGACCUCGGAUCAGGUAGGGAUACCCGCUGAACUUAAGCAUAUCAAUAAGCGGAGGA